UACAGAGGUCUCAAGCGUUGUUCGGAUUCAUUGGGCGUAAAGGGUGCGUAGGCGGCGCGGUAAGUCGGGUGUGAAAUCUCGGAGCUUAACUCCGAAACUGCAUUCGAUACUGCCGUGCUUGAGGACUGGAGAGGAGACUGGAAUUUACGGUGUAGCGGUGAAAUGCGUAGAUAUCGUAAGGAAGACCAGUGGCGAAGGCGGGUCGCUGGGCCGAUACUGACGCUGAGGAGCGAAAGCGUGGGGAGCAAACGGG
This 253-nucleotide ribosomal RNA is filed under the name uncultured bacterium. Its description in RNAcentral is "partial 16S ribosomal RNA". It matches the Rfam family "Bacterial small subunit ribosomal RNA", at positions 524 to 776 of the family's 1533-position model. The record is from RNAcentral.